UCCUGGUUAACCCAGGCAGUCUCGUUAGAGUUCCCACCUAAAUGUUGGCAACUAACGAUAAGGGUUGCGCUCGUUGCUGGACUUAACCAAACACCUCACGGCACGAGCUGACGACAGCCAUGCAGCACCUGUGCAGCGGCCCCGAAGGGAGACGCCAUUUCUGGCGCUGUCCACUGCAUGUCAAGUCUGGGUAAGGUUCUUCGCGUUGCAUCGAAUUAAACCACAUGCUCCACUGCUUGUGCGGGUCCCCGUCAAUUCUUUUGAGUUUCAGCCUUGCGACUGUACUCCCCAGGCGGCAUACUUAUCGCGUUAGCUACGGCGCAACCGGGGUUGAGUCCAGUUACACCAAGUAUGCAUCGUUUAGGGCUAGGACUAC
RNAcentral lists this unclassified non-coding RNA (376 nucleotides) under uncultured Chlamydiales bacterium. Its description in RNAcentral is "contains 16S-23S intergenic spacer region". Lineage: Bacteria; Pseudomonadati; Chlamydiota; Chlamydiia; Chlamydiales. The record is from RNAcentral.